AAUAAGUGUAGUUUUAGCACUGUUCAUAUUCAACGUUUGACCGUUCGUCUUAUUUGAAAAAAGAUUAUGAUUAGUAUUUUUAUUGUUAUUAGAUGAUAAAACAUGAAUAAUACUUUAUGUGUGACUAAUUUUUUAAAUAUUUUUUAUAAAUUUUUCAAAUAAGACGGAGCACGUAUAUCUAUGGCUGCACUUAUU
This 195-nucleotide microRNA precursor is filed under the name Oryza barthii. RNAcentral describes it as "MIR812 microRNA precursor family". It matches the Rfam family "MIR812 microRNA precursor family". Lineage: Eukaryota; Viridiplantae; Streptophyta; Magnoliopsida; Poales; Poaceae. The record is from Rfam by way of RNAcentral.